CCUACGGGAGGCAGCAGUGAGGAAUAUUGGUCAAUGGACGAGAGUCUGAACCAGCCAAGUAGCGUGAAGGAUGACUGCCCUAUGGGUUGUAAACUUCUUUUAUAUGGGAAUAAAAUGUUCCACGUGUGGGAUUUUGUAUGUACCAUAUGAAUAAGGAUCGGCUAACUCCGUGCCAGCAGCCGCGGUAAUACGGAGGAUCCGAGCGUUAUCCGGAUUUAUUGGGUUUAAAGGGAGCGUAGGUGGAGUGUUAAGUCAGUUGUGAAAGUUUGCGGUUCAACCGUAAAAUUGCAGUUGAAACUGGCAGUCUUGAGUACAGUAGAGGUGUGCGGAAUUCGUGGUGUAGCGGUGAAAUGCUUAGAUAUCACGAAGAACUCCGAUUGCGAAGGCAGUUCACUGGACUGCAACUGACACUGAGGCUCGAAAGUGUGGGUAUCAAACAGGAUUAGAUACCCCAGUAGUC
RNAcentral lists this ribosomal RNA (460 nucleotides) under uncultured bacterium. RNAcentral's name for it is "partial 16S ribosomal RNA". It matches the Rfam family "Bacterial small subunit ribosomal RNA", at positions 338 to 795 of the family's 1533-position model. The record is from RNAcentral.